Molecule: long non-coding RNA, 1149 nt
Organism: Poecilia reticulata (guppy)
Lineage: Eukaryota; Metazoa; Chordata; Actinopteri; Cyprinodontiformes; Poeciliidae
Source: RefSeq, a predicted model, not a curated record
UGGGACCUUUGAGGAGCGUUUCUGGGCGGAGCUUGGUAAGGUCCAUUUCCUUCAAUCUGAGGCAGACCACAGCGUCUCCAGAAAAAACUGAAGAAAAACUAACAUUUAACCAACUUCGCUCUGCUUGUAACCCGUUCAUUCAUCCAGCCACUGGGGGCGCUGUUACGAAACGACUGUCUGUGUAUGGCUGGAGUGGAGCUGAAGCUGUUUACCUUUAACGUCCCAAAACUUGAUGAAAACAUGACAAGGAGAUUCCAACUUCGGCGAGGAGAGGAAGUCGGCCUGCAGGAGGAUGUGAGUCUUGGUAAAUCAGAGGAAGCUGAAGCUGAACCUGCUGCUGUACAAACAUGACGGAUCUCCAGAAAAACAAGUUUUUCUCCCUGCUGGUUGUGUUUCCAUCUCUUCACGUGAAGCACAUAAAGCUCCUGUUUUCCUGUAAAACACCCACCUGACACCAGGUAACAAGAACCAGGUCACACACAGGAAGUGCACACACACAUAUGCAUGUAUGUGUGUGUGUGUGUGUGUGUUAGGUAUGCAGGGCCAGAGGACAUCUGCCUGGCCCGUGUCUGCAAUCCCAAGUAGCCUGAGUCUAACGGCUCCAUAAUGAGGGUACAAAGCGCUCUGGGCCGGGUGUGAGCGCUCGCUCGCCGUAAAACGAGGACACAAAGCAGUCAUUAGGUGUGUUGGUGUGUGUGUGUUGGCAGCUUUUAUUGAUGCAAAAAGCAAACGAGAAAGUGGAAAUGACAAGAAACGGGAGUUUUUAGACUCCAUGUACGUCUCCUGUGUUUGUUCAGACUUAGUUUCCCCCUCAGGCCUUCAGCAGACGUGGAGCCGGCCUGAACUUCAUGUCUGGGUUCAUAUCGGUGAACUGAAGCUGCGGCUGAAACACACGCUGCCUGCGUGUUUCAGCCAGGAUGCUGCGCUCUCAGCUGUGUGCUCAGGGUCAGCAGGAGGUCAGCAGGAGGUCAGAGUCCGUCUCUUGUAGCCUGAUAGACGAGUUCUGAUUAACGCCUGACAGUCUGAGCGACUCGGUUCGAUUUGAGGCCAAAACGGAAACAUUGGUUCAACCGAACCCUCUGAGCAACCUGUUCCCCUCCUGGCCUGUGGGGGCGCUGCACCAAGAACCACUGAAGGAAACGACACAAA